RNAcentral lists this ribosomal RNA (394 nucleotides) under uncultured bacterium. RNAcentral describes it as "partial 16S ribosomal RNA". It matches the Rfam family "Bacterial small subunit ribosomal RNA", at positions 338 to 729 of the family's 1533-position model. The record is from RNAcentral.
CCUACGGGUGGCAGCAGUGAGGAAUAUUGGUCAAUGGGCGUAAGCCUGAACCAGCCAAGUCGCGUGAGGGAUGAAGGUUCUAUGGAUUGUAAACCUCUUUUAUAUGGGAAUAAAAUGGGGGACGUGUCCUGUUUUGUAUGUACCUUAUGAAUAAGGAUCGGCUAACUCCGUGCCAGCAGCCGCGGUAAUACGGAGGAUCCGAGCGUUAUCCGGAUUUAUUGGGUUUAAAGGGUGCGUAGGUGGCCUUUUAAGUCAGCUGUGAAAGUUUGUGGCUCAACCAUAAAAUUGCCGUUGAAACUGGGAGUCUUGAGUAUAGUAGAGGCGGGCGGAAUGCGUGGUGUAGCGGUGAAAUGCUUAGAUAUCACGCAGAACCCCGAUUGCGAAGGCAGCUCAC